GGCCGCGGCCUCGCGAGCCAAGCCCGGGGCGCCCCGCCUCGGCCGGAGCCGGGAGGAGGGCCGCCGUCGCCCCCCACCCGCCGCCGCGAGCCUCCCCGGCCCGGGCGGCCCACACGUCCCGACCUCGGGACCGACCCCGUGCCGCGGCCCGUAGCUCGCUCACCCCACCCACGGACGUCCGGCUGCGGGGUCCGCGAGCGCCCGGGUAGGGGCGCCUGCGCGCCAGGGCGUGUCACAGCCUGUGCUUAGCAGUUAGCCUGCGCUCCAGCAUUGCUCUUGGGGGCCGUUUUCAACAGCGAAAUCCCCAACAAAGAAGACAAAAAUGCGGAAAGUGGCACUGAACAGACCAGGAAACAAGAAGGCAGAGCAGGACGCCGCCCGGUCCCAUGGAUCAGGCGAUUCACGGGUUCCACCCCUUUGCCACAUGACCACAAGAGGAGCUGCAGGCACUGAUUUAUGGACCCAAAUAAAUCUUAGCAGAGAUCCCCAAGGAGCACCUCGGGCUGCCAGAUCCAUGAUUUCAUGACUUCUUAGAACAGCCGGAUCCAUGAUUGCAAGUCAGGAGCUUAGGAAUGAGGACUGCUGCGGUUCUGGAGGUCUGAGCCAGUCAGGAUCUCUCUGUCAGAGGCACAGGCCGAGUAGGGAACAUGGAGCUAUCAUCAGGAAAUCCACUACUGCGGCCCAGAAUCGGCCACAAACCGGGGGGUUCUAGGCAAAUCGCUUCACCUCUCUGAGCACCAGCUUUCUCCAUUAUAUUGUGGACAACAGGUCCUUCCACUGUCACCUCCAGGAUUGUCUUCAUACUCUGCUUGUAUAAUAGAGCAACACCUUCCCCAUCUAGAACUCAGCUGUAGCAGUCUCUGUGGGUCUAACCACAGCCAGAAAAGAAAAGGCCUCUGAACAUCCACCUGACGUCAGAUUUAAGCAUAUCGCAUGCGAGCAAACACUUAGGUCUCGCUCGACUAUUGACUCUUUCUCUGCACAUAGUUCUAGUUUUCAAGAGUAACUUAGAGCUAUAAAUUUGAAAGGAAAAGAAAGCCUGCUAAGAAAAGAGAUACAAACAAAGUCACUACAGAAAAACCGUAAAAGGCACAAAAGAAGUGAAAAAGGCACCAUAGUCAGGGACCGUGUUGUUCCCCCUCGGAAGGCUCGAGAAAAUCACUAUGUCGUGGCACUGUCCUGUGUCCACGAGUCCAGAUUAUUUAUAAAUGCGUUUGUUCAUUAGCUUCUGUACUUCCGGAUGUGCAGAAGUACAUGUAACGUUUUAGAAAGAGAUUCACUCCCAAAAGGGUUCAAUUUAUGAAAAAGAAAACAAAACCAAGCAAUAUAUAUUCCUUUACCUCUUUGCUCUCAGCCUUCUGAAAAAUUCACAUCUCGAACAUCACCUCUGGCAACUCUUGGAGACCAACGUCUUAUUCCAGCAUUGAUCAAUUUGCCCC
Molecule: long non-coding RNA, 1439 nt
Organism: Leopardus geoffroyi (Geoffroy's cat)
Lineage: Eukaryota; Metazoa; Chordata; Mammalia; Carnivora; Felidae
Exons: 4
Source: RefSeq, a predicted model, not a curated record